UGGCGACGGGUGAGUAACGCGUGGAAAACCUGCCGUAUACUGGGGGAUAACACUUAGAAAUAGGUGCUAAUACCGCAUAAGCGCACAGCUUCGCAUGAAGCGGUGUGAAAAACUCUGGUGGUAUACGAUGGUUCCGCGUCUGAUUAGCUAGUUGGUGGGGUAAUGGCCUACCAAGGCAACGAUCAGUAGCCGGCCUGAGAGGGUGAACCGGCCACAUUGGGACUGAGACACGGCCCAACUCCUACGGGAGGCAGCAG
RNAcentral lists this ribosomal RNA (257 nucleotides) under uncultured bacterium. Its description in RNAcentral is "partial 16S ribosomal RNA". It matches the Rfam family "Bacterial small subunit ribosomal RNA", at positions 96 to 354 of the family's 1533-position model. The record is from RNAcentral.